RNAcentral lists this ribosomal RNA (330 nucleotides) under uncultured eukaryote. RNAcentral describes it as "partial 18S ribosomal RNA". It matches the Rfam family "Eukaryotic small subunit ribosomal RNA", at positions 1470 to 1796 of the family's 1831-position model. The record is from RNAcentral.
CCCUUAGAUGUCCUGGGCCGCACGCGCGCUACACUGAGUGUCUGAGAUACGAGUCUGCCUGGUCCGGCAAAGUCUAGGUAAUCGCUAAAAGACACAUCAUGCUUGGGAUAGAUUAUUGCAAAUAUUAAUCUUCAACGAGGAAUGCCUAGUAAGCGUGAUUCAUCAAAUCGCGUUGAUUACGUCCCUGCCCUUUGUACACACCGCCCGUCGCUCCUACCGAUUGAAUGUGUUGGUGAGGAGCUCGGAUUGGCAGCAGUUGGUGGUUCGCCACCGGCUAUUGCUGAGAAGUCCUCCAAACCGCCCCAUUUAGAGGAAGGAGAAGUCGUAACA